AUGGUUGCCGGUGUCACCCUAAGCCAAGAUAGACAAGAUACUAUUUCGUGGAAAUUCACAACCAACAGAGAGUACACGACGUCCUCGGCUUACUUGGCGCAAUUUGCGGGACUCACCUACAGUACCAAUACUUCCAUGAUCUGGAAGAUGUGGGCUCCUCCCAAAUGCAAGUUCUUUGCUUGGCUAGUUCUCCAGAACCGAGUCUGGACGGCCGAUCGCUUGUCUCGACGGGGAUGGCCCAAUUGCAACCUUUGCCCCCUUUGCAAGCAAGUUCAAGAGUCUGCUGCCCACCUACUAUUUCAGUGUAGAUUCACGAAUAGAGUUUGGAACGAGAUUACCAUUUGGCUGGGAAUACACGACUGCUCACCAAUGAUUUGGCGAAAUGAAGUUUCUGUUCGAUCUUGGUGGCAAAAGGCGUGA
This 420-nucleotide ribosomal RNA is filed under the name Triticum aestivum (bread wheat). RNAcentral describes it as "partial small subunit ribosomal RNA". The record is from RNAcentral. Lineage: Eukaryota; Viridiplantae; Streptophyta; Magnoliopsida; Poales; Poaceae.